This 322-nucleotide ribosomal RNA is filed under the name uncultured Sandonidae. RNAcentral's name for it is "SSU rRNA". The stretch from base 112 to 322 matches the Rfam family "Eukaryotic small subunit ribosomal RNA", at positions 744 to 955 of the family's 1831-position model. Lineage: Eukaryota; Cercozoa; Glissomonadida; Viridiraptoridae. The record is from RNAcentral.
GAUUUCUGGCUUGAAACAUUUUGCCGGCCACGGUUUCGUGUGUUAGUGCUUGAUGUUCUGGCCAUCCUUCCAAUCGCUGUGUACCUUUCUUCAUUGAUUGGUGCAUGGUAUUGGAUCUUUUACUUUGAAAAAAUUAGAGUGUUUCAAGCAGGCUUUAUGCUAUGAAUACAUUAGCAUGGAAUAAUAAUUUAGGACUUCGGUUCUAUUUUGUUGGUUUCUAGGACUGAAGUAAUGAUUGAUAGGGAUAGUUGGGGGUGCUAGUAUUCAGCGGCCAGAGGUGAAAUUCUCGGAUACGCUGAAGACUAACUUAUGCGAAAGCAUU